AUUCAUCAUUCUCCAAUAUUCAUCCUCUGGACAAGGGAAUUUCCAGUUAUCUUUCUCAACACUCAGAGGAAUUGCUGCAGGAGUCAAGCAUAUCACGGCCUCUUGAAGUUGCUUCGCAGCUCCUCGUAGAAGAGCCCCAGUGUUCAGACUCUGCAUCAAAGAGCUAUCGCACAAAAGUCUUGCAAAGACUACAAGAAAUUGUUGAGAACCAGCAAGACAUCCUUGCCAUGCAGAGGCAGUUACUGGCUGCAGUAGCUGUGACCAUGACAGAGGAAGAUGGGUUUUUUUCUGUAAAAUGGGCCAUGCCAAACAGUGGAGGAUCUGCAGACCCUUGACAGGGAUUUGGAAAAUAAAGAAAAAAGGGCCAAGAUGAUGAAUUACCUUCGGUCCCUUGGAGGAGCAAACCCAGGUGCAACCUUGCGCAAAAUAUUGCAACAUGAUCAUAGG
Molecule: long non-coding RNA, 447 nt
Organism: Carassius auratus (goldfish)
Lineage: Eukaryota; Metazoa; Chordata; Actinopteri; Cypriniformes; Cyprinidae
Exons: 6
Source: RefSeq, a predicted model, not a curated record